Molecule: long non-coding RNA, 1121 nt
Filed under: Cricetulus griseus (Chinese hamster)
Lineage: Eukaryota; Metazoa; Chordata; Mammalia; Rodentia; Cricetidae
Description: lncRNA (ENSCGRG00015034750.1)
Source: RNAcentral
UCCGCGAUUUGCGACCACCCUUCACCUGAGUGGAUUCGAUCUUGGAGGUAAGAUGAUUCGAGCUCGAAACUUGUAUAUGUUCAAUGUUCUAUGUUUCUUGUUUAGUCUCUUGCUGUUUUGUUUGGUGCCAUGAUUUGUAUUUGAUCUGCGCAGAAUUUGUAUUUGUAAUUCGGACUUCUGGGGAAGACCCUGAAGUCCUGCCCUGGAUGAAAGUCCGAGGGUUGCUUGAUUUGAUCUGCGCAGAAUUUGUAAUUUGUAUUUGAUCUGCGCAGAAUUUGUAAUUGAACCAUAGGGUAAGCAGACUUGCGAGAACCUUGGUUCCACCCUGGAUGAAAGUCCAAGGUUUGGUUGUAAUUUUGGUUUGGGGCACCAUUUCUUUGCCGCGGUUUGUCCUGUCUAAUGUUUGUGCUGUCUAAUGUGCUGUCAUUUGUGUUAUGUGUUUCUUAAGCAUCUCUUUCUGUCCCACAUUGCCCAUGCACGUGGCAUGCAUGGGUCAGGGGUCUUUUCUUGUUGCCCUAAGCACAUGGCACGGGAAAGGAGUUCUGCCAUAAACACAUAACACAAAUGACAGCACAUUAGACAGCACAAACAUUAGACAGGACAAACCGCGGCAAAGAAAUGGUGCCCCAAACCAAAAUUACAACCAAACCUUGGACUUUCAUCCAGGGUGGAACCAAGGUUCUCGCAAGUCUGCUUACCCUAUGGUUCAAUUACAAAUUCUGCGCAGAUCAAAUACAAAUUACAAAUUCUGCGCAGAUCAAAUCAAGCAACCCUCGGACUUUCAUCCAGGGCAGGACUUCAGGGUCUUCCCCAGAAGUCCGAAUUACAAAUACAAAUUCUGCGCAGAUCAAAUACAAAUCAUGGCACCAAACAAAACAGCAAGAGACAAAACAAGAAACAUAGAACAUUGAACAUAUACAAGUUUCGAGCUCGAAUCAUCUUACCUCCAAGAUCGAAUCCACUCAGGUGAAGGGUGGUCGCAAAUCGGACGAGCCCCCAAAAUGUUAGACCCCCGAAAACUCAAGUAUCCGGGGUCUCAGGCCAGGUUCGCGGUCACCCCAAUCACCAGGCGGAUUCGAGAGCUUGCUGCAAACUGCACGAGGCUUUAUUGUAAUUUAACG